This 119-nucleotide ribosomal RNA is filed under the name Pteropus alecto (black flying fox). Lineage: Eukaryota; Metazoa; Chordata; Mammalia; Chiroptera; Pteropodidae. The record is from RNAcentral.
GUCUAUGGCCAUGCCACCCUGAACAAGCCCAAUCUUGUCUGAUCUCGGAAACUAAGCAGGAUCAGGCCUGGUUAGUACUUGGAUGGGAGACCACCUAGGAAGACCAGGCGCUAUAGGCA